UACGUAGGGGGCGAGCGUUGUCCGGAAUCACUGGGCGUAAAGGGCGCGCAGGCGGCGGCCCAAGGAUCCCGUGAAAGCCCUCGGCUCAACCGGGGGAGGCCGGGGUCGACUGGGCGGCUGGAGUGUCGCAGAGGCGGGUGGAAUUCCCGGUGGAGUGGUGAAAUGCGUAGAGAUCGGGAGGAACACCAGUGGCGAAGGCGGCCCGCUGGGCGACGACUGACGCUGAGGCGCGAGAGCGUGGGGAGCGAACUGA
This 253-nucleotide ribosomal RNA is filed under the name uncultured bacterium. RNAcentral describes it as "partial 16S ribosomal RNA". It matches the Rfam family "Bacterial small subunit ribosomal RNA", at positions 524 to 776 of the family's 1533-position model. The record is from RNAcentral.